UGUUACUGUUUCUUUAAGAAUCGGUGGCUAGGGGGCCUUUCAGAGAGAGCGGGGCAAGGCUCCCUUCUCACCCAAUCAACUGGGGAUGAGCUAGCAGAAGGGGACCCAGCAUAGAGGCUGCCUCUCUCAUAUAACUGGGCAGACACCAGAAGAUACCAGCAGGGAAAGGCAGGCCUCCUGAGCAGUCUGAAGAUGGGGAACCUGAGAUACAGAGAUGUGAACUGAUGUGCCCAAGGUAUAGAAGCAGACCCAAGAUUAGAAUUUGUGUUCCCUGUUGGUAGAAUCACCCUUAAACCUGCCAUUUCAAAGUCCAAUUACACACCUGUGUGAAAGGACAGUGAGAUUGCAGACAGGUUUACGAUGGACCGUAUGGAUGGUGUGAUACACAACCUGUCAGUUAGGGCUAUGCUACUGCUCUACUGCUUCGUUUUAUGGAUGUUCAUAUCAUACGGCUCAUUUGAUCUACUUCCUGUCUGAGAAGACUUUAGAGAAUAAGAUGGAAGAGAUAUAUCCUCUAGUUGGUCGACAGAACAAGGAAUGCAGAGCCUGAUUUUCUUCUGGAAUGCAUGCAUGAGUGGCUCCCGUUGUCUUCAGUGUCAGCUGUCUGCCCACACACCCAAGAACAAUGUUUGAUCCACCCUUAUCUUUCUUGCAUAAUUGGCUACAGCUCUCCUUUUAAGUACCCACUUCACCUGGCCAGCUGUAUUUACAGGGGUUUUUGUUCAUAUCUCCAAUGCAGAUAGUUGUGAACAAGAAUCCACAAGAAGUUUAUGACUGUGGUACACAGGGCUGCAGCUUUCUUUUUGCUGAAUGGAGAUGUAUUUAUUGUUGGUAAUAGUUGUAGUUACUUGGUCUAUCCUUUGUAAUUUACCAACUCCCACCACCAGGAGCAGCAAAUCUAAGAAUAUUUGAAAUAAAAUUUUGCUUCUUUCUUUCA
Long non-coding RNA from Trachemys scripta elegans, 937 nucleotides. RefSeq lists it as uncharacterized. The transcript has 2 exons. NCBI's taxonomy places the organism in Eukaryota, Metazoa, Chordata, Testudines, Emydidae. The record is from RefSeq and is a predicted model, not a curated record.